ACCACUCUCAGACCCGACGGCCAAGCCAUUCCUGCAGACGACGGCCCAGCCCCCCAUACCCCUCGGAGACCCUAGAUCUCUCCACCGCCGGAGAGUAGAAGGUCAGCCUUCGAGCUUCGCGCCUGCGUCAACAGUCUCUCUCUCUCUCUGCAAACCCCCUCUGAUGUCGAACCUUAUUAGAAGUCGUAAGGCGAUGACGACCACACAGAGUUCGCCUCCCCCGGCUCUGACAUCAGCUACCACUGCUCCAGCGCAGAUGGACCAUUUGAUGGUUGGUCCCGGGGUCUCUCAUGCGUCAGUGUCAUCAGCGUCAUCAGUGGCGCAAUCUGUUAGCGCCAGACGUCAUCACCGCCCCGCCAGCACCACCGACACUACAUCGACAGACGCUACUGAUGCGUCGGGUCACAAUCAGCCAAGAAGAACACCCGGGGGCUGUGUGGGCAGUUGAAGACGACAAAGGUCACCUAGGUGACCAAUAGUCGUAUCAACAUCGGAUAUAACGAGCGGCAUCGGGCUGCACUGACGGCAGAGUUGCAUAGCUCAUUGGCCCACGACAUUGGUCACGUCGUUCGGACCCAUUGCCCGAUGCAAUGGAAGUCUUGGAAGGGCAUGCCUGCCGAGAUCCAGAUGGAGACGAACUAUAACUUAGAGGACCUCGAUGACGAGUCAUUGGCGUACGUCAACAUACUCUUUGCUGAGAGGUACAAGCAGUGGAAGAGCGACUUGCAUCACCAUUUCUAGGCGUUUGAUGAUCCACAGGUUGCUCUUCAGGAGGGUUGCCGAAGAAGCUUGAGGGGCGGGAGGAUAGUUGGGCGUGGCUCUGCGCUCAUUUUCAGGCGCCAGAUUAUGUGCCAAAGUCAAUAAGGGCAAUAGGAACAAGAAGACUUUUCUCCACCAUUCAAGUUCCAAGCCCUUCUCAUAUAGGAUGGAUGCACGGUGGCAUGGGGGUCCAAAUUCCCAAAGAUCGACGUCUUUGGCGACGUUUAUGU
This is a long non-coding RNA of Prunus dulcis (almond), 989 nucleotides long. RefSeq lists it as uncharacterized. The record is from RefSeq and is a predicted model, not a curated record. The transcript has 6 exons. NCBI's taxonomy places the organism in Eukaryota, Viridiplantae, Streptophyta, Magnoliopsida, Rosales, Rosaceae.